This 531-nucleotide ribosomal RNA is filed under the name uncultured bacterium. Its description in RNAcentral is "bacterial SSU rRNA". It matches the Rfam family "Bacterial small subunit ribosomal RNA", at positions 791 to 1316 of the family's 1533-position model. The record is from RNAcentral.
UAGUCCACGCUGUAAACGAUGGAUACUAGGUGUUCGGAGUGUUAACCCUCUGAGUACCGGAGCAAACGCAUUAAGUAUCCCGCCUGGGGAGUACGGUCGCAAGGCUAAAACUCAAAGGAAUUGACGGGGCCCGCACAAGCGGUGGAGUAUGUGGUUCAAUUCGAAGCAACGCGAAGAACCUUACCUGGGCUUAACAUCCCACGACAACCCCAGAGAUGGGGCCUCUUCUUCGGAAGCGUGGUGAUAGGUGCUGCAUGGCUGUCGUCAGCUCGUGUCGUAAGAUGUUGGGUUAAGUCCCGCAACGAGCGCAACCCCUGUCCCUAGUUGCCAGCAUUGAGUUGGGGACUCUAGGGAGACUGCCGGUGUUAAACCGGAGGAAGGCGGGGACGAGGGUCAAGUCCUCAUGGCCCUUAUGCCCAGGGGCUACACACGUACUACAAUGGGCAGAGACAAUCCGAUGCAAGACCGCGAGGUGGGAGCUAAUCGGGAAAAACACUGUCUUAGUCCGGGAUUGGGAGUCUGCAACUCGAC